UACGUAGGGUGCAAGCGUUAAUCGGAAUUACUGGGCGUAAAGCGUGCGCAGGCGGUUAUGUAAGACAGAUGUGAAAUGCCCGGGCUUAACCCGGGAACUGCAUUUGUGACUGCAUGGCUAGAGUUUGGCAGAGGGGGGUAGAAUUCCACGUGUAGCAGUGAAAUGCGUAGAUAUGUGGAGGAACACCGAUGGCGAAGGCAGCCCCCUGGGUCAAGACUGACGCUCAUGCACGAAAGCGUGGGGAGCAAACAGG
This 253-nucleotide ribosomal RNA is filed under the name uncultured bacterium. Its description in RNAcentral is "partial 16S ribosomal RNA". It matches the Rfam family "Bacterial small subunit ribosomal RNA", at positions 524 to 776 of the family's 1533-position model. The record is from RNAcentral.